AGUGAGCGCUGGCGGUAGGCCUAACACAUGCAAGUCGAACGGCAGCACAGUAAGAGCUUGCUCUUACGGGUGGCGAGUGGCGGACGGGUGAGGAAUACAUCGGAAUCUACUUUUUCGUGGGGGAUAACGUAGGGAAACUUACGCUAAUACCGCAUACGACCUACGGGUGAAAGCAGGGGAUCUUCGGACCUUGCGCGAUUGAAUGAGCCGAUGUCGGAUUAGCUAGUUGGCGGGGUAAAGGCCCACCAAGGCGACGAUCCGUAGCUGGUCUGAGAGGAUGAUACGCCACACUGGAACUGAGACACGGUCCAGACUCCUACGGGAGGCAGCAGUGGGGAAUAUUGGACAAUGGGCGCAAGCCUGAUCCAGCCAUACCGCGUGGGUGAAGAAGGCCUUCGGGUUGUAAAGCCCUUUUGUUGGGAAAGAAAAGCAGCAGGUUAAUACCCCGCUGUUCUGACGGUACCCAAAGAAUAAGCACCGGCUAACUUCGUG
Molecule: ribosomal RNA, 492 nt
Filed under: uncultured bacterium
Lineage: Bacteria
Description: partial 16S ribosomal RNA
Rfam family: Bacterial small subunit ribosomal RNA
Source: RNAcentral